CAACAGGGAUUGCCCUAGUAACGGCGAGUGAAGCGGCAACAGCUCAAAUUUGAAAUCUGGCUCUUUCAGAGUCCGAGUUGUAAUUUGCAGAGGGCGCUUUGGCUUUGGCAGCGGUCCAAGUUCCUUGGAACAGGACGUCACAGAGGGUGAGAAUCCCGUACGUGGUCGCUAGCUAUUGCCGUGUAAAGCCCCUUCGACGAGUCGAGUUGUUUGGGAAUGCAGCUCUAAAUGGGAGGUAAAUUUCUUCUAAAGCUAAAUACUGGCCAGAGACCGAUAGCGCACAAGUAGAGUGAUCGAAAGAUGAAAAGCACUUUGGAAAGAGAGUCAAACAGCACGUGAAAUUGUUGAAAGGGAAGCGCUUGCAGCCAGACUUGCUUGCAGUUGCUCAUCCGGGCUUUUGCCCGGUGCACUCUUCUGUAGGCAGGCCAGCAUCAGUUUGGGCGGUGGGAUAAAGGUCUCUGUCACGUACCUCCUUUCGGGGAGGCCUUAUAGGGGAGACGACAUACCACCAGCCUGGACUGAGGUCCGCGCAUCUGCUAGGAUGCUGGCGUAAUGGCUGUAAGCGGCCCGUCUUGAAACACGGACCAAGGAGUCUAACAUCUAUGCGAGUGUUUGGGUGUCAAGCCCGAGCGCGUAAUGAAAGUGAACGGAGGUGGGAACCCGCAAGGGCGCACCAUCGACCGAUCCUGAAGUUUACGGAAGGAUUUGAGUAAGAGCAUGGCUGUUGGGACCCGAAAGAUGGUGAACUAUGCUUGAAUAGGGUGAGCCAGAGGAAACUCUGGUGGAGGCUCGCAGCGGUUCUGACGUGCAAAUCGAUCGUCAAAUUUGGGCAUAGGGGCGAAAGACUAAUCGAU
This 854-nucleotide ribosomal RNA is filed under the name Curvularia nodulosa. RNAcentral describes it as "LSU rRNA". It matches the Rfam family "Eukaryotic large subunit ribosomal RNA", at positions 66 to 939 of the family's 3401-position model. The record is from RNAcentral. Lineage: Eukaryota; Fungi; Ascomycota; Dothideomycetes; Pleosporales; Pleosporaceae.